UGCGGGCCGGGCCCCUCUGACGACGCUGUGUCGUGAUGUCGGACCGCAUCG
RNAcentral lists this non-coding RNA (51 nucleotides) under uncultured Rhodobacter sp. RNAcentral's name for it is "terC RNA". It matches the Rfam family "terC RNA". The record is from RNAcentral. Lineage: Bacteria; Pseudomonadati; Pseudomonadota; Alphaproteobacteria; Rhodobacterales.